AUAAACAACACAAAAGGAUAUUGU
RNAcentral lists this non-coding RNA (24 nucleotides) under Arabidopsis thaliana (thale cress). The record is from RNAcentral. Lineage: Eukaryota; Viridiplantae; Streptophyta; Magnoliopsida; Brassicales; Brassicaceae.